GACGAACGCUGGCGGCGUGCUUAACACGUGCAAGUCGAACGGUGAAGCGCCUUCCUUUUUGGUGGGUGUGGAUGAGUGGCGAACGGGUGAGUAACACGUGAGUAACCUGCCCCCUUCUUCUGGAUAACCGCAUGAAAGUGUGGCUAAUACGGGAUAUUCUGGGUCUGUCGCAUGAUGGGUCUGGGAAAGAUAUUGUUUCGGUGGGGGAUGGGCUCGCGGCCUAUCAGCUUGUUGGUGGGGUGAUGGCCUACCAAGGCGGUGACGGGUAGCCGGCCUGAGAGGGUGGACGGUCACACUGGGACUGAGACACGGCCAAGACUCCUACGGGAGGCAGCAGUGGGGAAUAUUGCACAAUGGGCGCAAGCCUGAUGCAGCGACGCCGCGGGAGGGAUGGAGGCCUGCGGGUUGUGAACCUCUUUCGCCAGUGAAGCAGGCCUGCCUCGUUUGUGGGUGGGUUGACGGUAGCUGGAUAAGAAGCGCCGGCUAACUACGUG
Molecule: ribosomal RNA, 494 nt
Filed under: uncultured bacterium
Lineage: Bacteria
Description: partial 16S ribosomal RNA
Rfam family: Bacterial small subunit ribosomal RNA
Source: RNAcentral